Lepisosteus oculatus (spotted gar) is the source of this 257-nucleotide non-coding RNA. Lineage: Eukaryota; Metazoa; Chordata; Actinopteri; Semionotiformes; Lepisosteidae. The record is from RefSeq and is a predicted model, not a curated record.
CCUUGGUAACACGGCGGAAGUGAACCCAUUUUUUUAACCUACAGGCGCGUAUUGGAGGCUGAGACGGCGGCAGUACAGAAGUACGUUAAGCCCCAGGACGCGUCCGCCCGGACCUGCGCUGCGUGUUGACGGAUGUCGUUCGUCCGAGGCAGCCGGUCCUGCCCGCCGGCCGGCCGGCCAGGGAGGAAGGCGACGCGGGUCAGAAAGAAGAAAGCGGCAGGCCAGCAGGACUGGGUGAGCACCAUUCAGGAUCUCAG